CUGUGUACUUGAGGCUUCUUGAAGCCCAGGCUCUAUGAAGCAAUACAUAGAAGUGGCCAUUGAAUUCAAGUCCCACAAUUUCCGUCUCAUAGACUGCACUAUUGUCACACGCAGAUGCAUUCAGAGGAUGGAAAGAUGUGUGCUGUGAAUGCUUCAAAGUAGAGCACUGUGCUACACUUGAACAGAGGUUACAGUUUCUAUGCUGUUGCUGGAUGAAUGGGACAGCAAGGAGGGGGAAUAACACAGUUUUAUGGAGUGGAAGGACAAACAGAAGGCAGAG
Long non-coding RNA from Lagopus leucura (white-tailed ptarmigan), 280 nucleotides. RefSeq lists it as uncharacterized. The record is from RefSeq and is a predicted model, not a curated record. The transcript has 3 exons. Lineage: Eukaryota; Metazoa; Chordata; Aves; Galliformes; Phasianidae.